UACGUAGGGGGCAAGCGUUGUCCGGAAUCAUUGGGCGUAAAGAGCGUGUAGGCGGCCCGAUAAGUCCGCUGUGAAAGUCCAGGGCUCAACCCUGGGAUGCCGGUGGAUACUGUCGGGCUCGAGUCCGGAAGAGGAGUGUGGAAUUCCUGGUGUAGCGGUGAAAUGCGCAGAUAUCAGGAGGAACACCAGUGGCGAAGGCGGUCUGCUGGGCCGUUGCUGACGCUGAUGCGCGACAGCGUGGGGAGCAAACAGG
This 253-nucleotide ribosomal RNA is filed under the name uncultured bacterium. Its description in RNAcentral is "partial 16S ribosomal RNA". It matches the Rfam family "Bacterial small subunit ribosomal RNA", at positions 524 to 776 of the family's 1533-position model. The record is from RNAcentral.